Molecule: ribosomal RNA, 372 nt
Filed under: uncultured bacterium
Lineage: Bacteria
Description: bacterial SSU rRNA
Rfam family: Bacterial small subunit ribosomal RNA
Source: RNAcentral
GGGCCCGCACAAGCGGUGGAGUAUGUGGUUUAAUUCGAUGCAACGCGAAGAACCUUACCAGGGUUUGACAUCCUGCGAAUCUCUUGGAAACGAGAGAGUGCCUUCGGGAACGCAGUGACAGGUGGUGCAUGGCUGUCGUCAGCUCGUGUUGUGAGAUGUUGGGUUAAGUCCCGCAACGAGCGCAACCCCUAUCCUUAGUUGCCAGCGAUUCGGUCGGGAACUCUAAGGAGACUGCCGGUGAUAAACCGGAGGAAGGUGUGGAUGACGUCAAGUCAUCAUGCCCCUUACAUCCUGGGCUACACACGUACUACAAUGCUACGGACAAAGGGCUGCAAGUUCGCGAGGACAAGCAAAUCCCAUAAACCGUGGCUC